Non-coding RNA from Phoenix dactylifera (date palm), 404 nucleotides. Lineage: Eukaryota; Viridiplantae; Streptophyta; Magnoliopsida; Arecales; Arecaceae. The record is from RefSeq and is a predicted model, not a curated record.
GUCCACAGUAGAUUUAACGGCAUUAAGGAUGGUGGUUCCUGUAAUUUAUUGGUGCUUCAAAAGCAAACAUUACCACUGUGAAUUGCAAUCUAAGCUUGGAUUAGAGAAGCACCAAAUCAAUAUCUUGCCAGUUUCCAAGUAAUAAACAUUUCUGGUAAGGGUUACAAUAUUGAGUGGUGGAUUUUCGAUGAUGAGGACAAGUAGAACUAAGAUAUAAAAUAAAUACCACAGUGUUAAACCAGGAGGUAACAAUAUAAAACAAUAACUAGUAAUGCACCUUAGGAGAGUUUAGGGUUUAAAAAACAGAAGAAAGAUGUAGGAUAGCAAAAAUUGUACUUCUGUGUUGUUUAUCAUUAGUUCCUUGGAUAAAUAGUAGAUCAACAGCAAUCAUGGCUUUUUGUAUC